This 73-nucleotide transfer RNA is filed under the name Candidatus Pacearchaeota archaeon. RNAcentral describes it as "tRNA-Thr". It matches the Rfam family "tRNA". From Rfam's summary of the family: Transfer RNA (tRNA) molecules are approximately 80 nucleotides in length. Their secondary structure includes four short double-helical elements and three loops (D, anti-codon, and T loops). Further hydrogen bonds mediate the characteristic L-shaped molecular structure. tRNAs have two regions of fundamental functional importance: the anti-codon, which is responsible for specific mRNA codon recognition, and the 3' end, to which the tRNAs corresponding amino acid is attached (by aminoacyl-tRNA synthetases). tRNAs cope with the degeneracy of the genetic code in two manners: having more than one tRNA (with a specific anti-codon) for a particular amino acid; and 'wobble' base-pairing, i.e. permitting non-standard base-pairing at the 3rd anti-codon position. Lineage: Archaea; Nanobdellati. The record is from RNAcentral.
GCCUUCGUAGCUUCAACGGCAGAGCACCGCUUUCGUAAAGCGGGGGUUGAGGGUUCAAAUCCCUCCGAAGGCU